GCAGGUAUAGCUCAAGUGGUAGAGCACGUGCUUAGCGUGCAUGAAGUUCUGGGUUCAAUCCCCAGUCCCUCCU
This 73-nucleotide transfer RNA is filed under the name Camelus bactrianus (Bactrian camel). It matches the Rfam family "tRNA". From Rfam's summary of the family: Transfer RNA (tRNA) molecules are approximately 80 nucleotides in length. Their secondary structure includes four short double-helical elements and three loops (D, anti-codon, and T loops). Lineage: Eukaryota; Metazoa; Chordata; Mammalia; Artiodactyla; Camelidae. The record is from Rfam by way of RNAcentral. RNAcentral also lists the same sequence under 3 other names.